Long non-coding RNA from Bos taurus (domestic cattle), 2023 nucleotides. NCBI's taxonomy places the organism in Eukaryota, Metazoa, Chordata, Mammalia, Artiodactyla, Bovidae. The record is from Ensembl.
CCUAAGUUACUUGACCUUUCUGGACCUCAGUCUGUAAUAUUCUCAUAGGAUUGUUGGAAAUUUUAAGUACCAUCUAGGGAAAAUGCUUAAUACGGUGGGGGUGGGGUGCUUUUCUUGUUUCCUUUUUUUUUUUUUGGCUGUGCUGGGUCUUUGUUGCGCAUAUAGGCUUCUCUAGUUGGGCUUAGUUGCCCCAUGGCAUGUGGGAUCUUACUUCCCCGACCAGGGAUCAAACCCAUGUCUCCAACACUGGAAGGUGGAUUCUUAAUCACUGGAUCACCAGGGAAGUCUCUUGUGUGUUUUCCUAGACUGAAUGAUCAUAUGCAAAGAAAUACAAUUAGCCUUGAAGUCAGAGCUUGAAAGGAAUAAGGUAUAGAAAACCUGCUACACCUGGUGGUCAGAACUUUAGUGUCUUUCCUGAUCAAGGGUUCAUGUUGAAGGUGCAGUGGGUCUCUGGUUUUCAUUGGGAAACCAUUCAUCUCCUACUUGGAGUUGAUCCAAGGGUGAACACAUGACCCAAGCCUGGCCAGACAGCAUUUUUUAACACCCAGACAUAGACAUGUAAGUCCAUCCAACCAGAGUCAGUCCUGGAUCUUUCGAUGGAACUUAGGAAAUCCAGAAGCUCUCUGUCUGCUAGAUGCAUGCCAGGAGCUGCUGACAGUCAUCUUGCCACCCUGAGAGAAGACGUUCUUGAAGAUGGAGCCAUCACAGACUGGAGAAUGAGGAGAUGGAGUGCAGGAAAGUGAAAAGUGAAAGUGAAGUCGCUCAGUCGUGUCUGACCCUCAGCGACCCAAUGGACUGCAGCCUUCCAGGCUCCUCCAUCCAUGGGAUUUUCCAGGCACCAGAAAAGUGGAGCAAGGCUACCACCAUCCUCACAGGACUAACCCGAAAGUUUAACCAAGGGAUAAAAAUGCUUCAAAGUUGACAACGGGGUGAUCAGGGACAGAAGAGCACAGCCACGCGGGAGAGAAGCUUCCAGUUCUCACAGGAGGCAAGGGCGACACUCAACAGCAGUUCAUGCUCUCAGGAACUUCGGGUUUUCAGUGCAAAGAUAAAACAAUCCUACUGACGGACCUGCUUGAAGAAGGCAGCCUCACUUCUCCUAAUUCUUGACUGCUGUUGUAAGGGGUUCCUUUUCCCCAAACAGUGGGACUUGUGACCUGACUUAGUGUAUGAUACUUUCCUAGUAUCCUUGGAAGUCGUUAAAACCUGUUACCCAAUUAACAGCCAUGCUCAUAAAUGCAUAUUUUCUUAAUAGGAAAAGCACAGGGCUUCCUUCAACAACAAUUAUAGUAUCAGUGGGUAACCUGUCUGGAGAGGCUUCCUAUGAUGCUGGACAUCAUUCUAAGCAGUUUUUUCUUGUUUUGCUACACCACUCUGCAUGUGGGAUCUUAGUUCCCCAACCAGGGAUUGAACCCAUGCCCCUUAUAUUUGAAGGGGGGGAAUCUUAACUGCUGGACCACCCUGGAAGUCCUUUAAGUCCUUAUCAAAAGUCAGUGCAGUGGGGACUAUCUUACAGAAGACAUAAUGGAGGCACAGAGAGGUUAAAUAAAUUGCCAAAAGCCACACAGCUCACCUCGAUCAUCACCUCUGUGUCCAGAGGCCUUCCUAAUGACAAUACAGGCAUCUCCAGAUAAGACUGUGGACUAGGAAACCCUUGCCCUCUCCUGGCCUGAUUUAUAGACCUGGCUGUGAGAGUUUGACAGCCCUGACGAACAGGGCUGCUGAGCACGCUGGUGGCCAGUUGGAAAAAUACACGAAGCCAGGGAGUGGAAGGAGGCCUGGCCGCCUGGUGGGCUCUGAGUCACAUAGGUCAGCGGGAGCUGGCCCACUCAGCCUGUCACCCUCAGCUGUCUCUCUGCUGCACACGGAGCCAGGGCUUGGAGAUGGGAACUGCGAUUUAUAAGCUCUCAGGCAAAAUCAACUUUCGGGUGAAGAAAACCCACAUACCCGGUAGGUUCCCCUGGCUUCUGACUAUCUGACGGCACCCGGGCCACUGGGAGGACUGUCUUGACAUUGGUUCAGU